This 26-nucleotide ribosomal RNA is filed under the name Eutintinnus pectinis. RNAcentral's name for it is "partial large subunit ribosomal RNA". Lineage: Eukaryota; Ciliophora; Spirotrichea; Tintinnida; Tintinnidae. The record is from RNAcentral.
AUCACCUUAGUGAAGUAGGACCACCC